Molecule: ribosomal RNA, 253 nt
Filed under: uncultured bacterium
Lineage: Bacteria
Description: partial 16S ribosomal RNA
Rfam family: Bacterial small subunit ribosomal RNA
Source: RNAcentral
UACGGAGGGUGCAAGCGUUAAUCGGAAUUACUGGGCGUAAAGCGUGCGCAGGCGGUGCGCCAAGCUCGAUGUGAAAGCCCCGGGCUUAACCUGGGAAUGGCAUUGAGGACUGUGUGGCUUGAGUGCGGCAGAGGGAGGUGGAAUUCCACGUGUAGCAGUGAAAUGCGUAGAUAUCGGGAGGAACAUCAGUGGCGAAGGCGGCCCUCUGGUCCAGUACUGACACUCAAGUGCGAAAGCGUGGGGAGCAAACAGG